Long non-coding RNA from Carya illinoinensis, 506 nucleotides. RefSeq lists it as uncharacterized. The transcript is spliced from 4 exons. The record is from RefSeq and is a predicted model, not a curated record. NCBI's taxonomy places the organism in Eukaryota, Viridiplantae, Streptophyta, Magnoliopsida, Fagales, Juglandaceae.
CCCCCGAAACCCUAACUUUUACUCGCAGCUGGAUUCAUCGUCGCCGAUGACUAGGCCGUCGAGUAUGAAGUUGAUGGUGGUAGUAGAAGGCCACAACCUGGAGAUCUCAACUUGGUAAAGAAUAAAAGGUUGAAAGAAUUCAAAGAAAUAAGCUCAGAGAGGACCCAAGAGUGCUGAAGUACUUUAGUUGCGGGGAGAGAUAAAGCAACUCUUGAAAGAAGCUGUUCUGAGUGCAUUAUUUCUUUUGAUAUUAGAUCAAAACAACAUUUCAUUGGUUUAACAUUUCAUGAUUCUUUUUUUAACCAUUAAUGUUGAUGCUGUUGGCAGCUUAUGGAAACUCAAUCCAGCAGAAAAUUUUCCAAAAUGCUCCACCAGAUCUUGGUGAAAGAAAUCAAUUUUUUCCCCCAAUUCAAGAUUCAAGAUGUGAAGUGUAUUAACAAUGUAUUAGUUUAAUUAGUUGUAGUGUAUUAUUAUUUAUUUUGUUCUUUGUAAAUUUCUGUUUUGUA